RNAcentral lists this ribosomal RNA (445 nucleotides) under uncultured bacterium. RNAcentral's name for it is "bacterial SSU rRNA". It matches the Rfam family "Bacterial small subunit ribosomal RNA", at positions 354 to 796 of the family's 1533-position model. The record is from RNAcentral.
GUAAGGAAUAUUGGUCAAUGGACGGAAGUCUGAACCAGCCAUCCCGCGUGCAGGAUGAAGGUCCUAUGGAUUGUAAACUGCUUUUAGCAGAGACGAAACGCUUCCAUUUAUGGGAGUCUGACGGUAUCUGCAGAAUAAGCACCGGCUAACUCCGUGCCAGCAGCCGCGGUAAUACGGAGGGUGCAAGCGUUAUCCGGAAUCACUGGGUUUAAAGGGUGCGUAGGCGGAAUAUUAAGUCAGUGGUGAAAGCCUGUCGCUUAACGAUAGAACUGCCAUUGAUACUGAUAUUCUUGAAUUGGGUUGAGGUUAGCGGAAUGUGACAUGUAGCGGUGAAAUGCAUAGAUAUGUCAUGGAACACCAAUUGCGAAGGCAGCUAACUGGGCCUUGAUUGACGCUGAGGCACGAAAGCGUGGGUAGCGAACAGGAUUAGAUACCCUUGUAGUCC